UACGGAGGGUGCAAGCGUUGCCCGGAAUUAUUAGGCGUAAAGCGCGCGUAGGCGGCCCGGUACGUCCGCUCUGAAAGUCCAGGGCUCAACCCUGGAAUGCGGGUGGAUACUGCCGGGCUAGAGUCCGGAAGAGGCGAGUGGAAUUCCUGGUGUAGCGGUGGAAUGCGCAGAUAUCAGGAGGAACACCAAUAGCGAAGGCAGCUCGCUGGGACGGGACUGACGCUAAGGCGCGAAAGCGUGGGGAGCGAACAGG
This 253-nucleotide ribosomal RNA is filed under the name uncultured bacterium. Its description in RNAcentral is "partial 16S ribosomal RNA". It matches the Rfam family "Bacterial small subunit ribosomal RNA", at positions 524 to 776 of the family's 1533-position model. The record is from RNAcentral.